AGGCGCGCAAAUUACCCAAUCCCGACACGGGGAGGUAGUGGCAAUACAUAACGAUACAGGGCCCUUUCGGGUCUUGUAAUUGGAAUGAGUACAAUGUAAAUACCUUAACGAGGAACAAUUGGAGGGCAAGUCUGGUGCCAGCAGCCGCGGUAAUUCCAGCUCCAAUAGCGUAUAUUAAAGUUGUUGCAGUUAAAAAGCUCGUAGUUGAACUUUGGGCUUGGUUGGCCGGUCCGCCUUUUUGGCGAGUACUGGACCCAACCGAGCCUUUCCUUCUGGCUAACCAUUUGCCCUUGUGGUGUUUGGCGAACCAGGACUUUUACUUUGAAAAAAUUAGAGUGUUCAAAGCAGGCCUUUGCUCGGAUACAUUAGCAUGGAAUAAUAGAAUAGGACGUGCGGUUCUAUUUUGUUGGUUUCUAGGACCGCCGUAAUGAUUAAUAGGGAUAGUCGGGGGCGUCAGUAUUCAGCUGUCAGAGGUGAAAUUCUUGGAUUUGCUGAAGACUAACUACUGCGAAAGCAUUCGCCAAGGAUGUUUUCAUUAAUCAGGGAACGAAAGUUAGGGGAUCGAAGACGAUCAGAUACCGUCGUAGUCUUAACCAUAAACUAUGCCGACUAGGGAUCGGGCGGUGUUUCUAUGAUGACCCGCUCGGCACCUUACGAGAAAUCAAAGUUUUU
Molecule: ribosomal RNA, 672 nt
Filed under: uncultured fungus
Lineage: Eukaryota; Fungi
Description: SSU rRNA
Rfam family: Eukaryotic small subunit ribosomal RNA
Source: RNAcentral